AUACGGAGGGUGCAAGCGUUAUCCGGAUUUAUAGGGUUUAAAGGGUCCGUAGGCGGGAAUCUAAGUCAGUGGUGAAAUCUUGCAGCUCAACUGUAAAAUUGCCAUUGAUACUGGAUUUCUUGAAUUAGUGUGAAGUGGUUAGAAUGUGUAGUGUAGCGGUGAAAUGCAUAGAUAUUACACAGAAUACCAAUUGCGAAGGCAGAUCACUAACACUAUAUUGACGCUAAGGGACGAAAGCGUGGGGAGCGAACAGGAUUAGAAACCCCAGUAGUCC
Molecule: ribosomal RNA, 274 nt
Filed under: uncultured bacterium
Lineage: Bacteria
Description: partial 16S ribosomal RNA
Rfam family: Bacterial small subunit ribosomal RNA
Source: RNAcentral